GCAGAACUGACACCUUGCUAGACAGAAAGGCAUGUAAGGUGCUUCCUUGGCUGUGACUUCAUAGAACCAUAGAACGGCUUGGGUUGGAAGGGACCCCAGAGACCAUCAAAUUCCAGCCCCUCUGGCACAGGCAGAGCCACCAACCUCCAGAUCUGCUACUAGGCCAGGUUCCUUCUGCUUGAUAUUCAGUGCAGUACCUCCCUACAGACUAGAUGGGACCAGGAGAGCCAGUUGGCUUUCAAGCCCCUGCUAGCUCCAGAAUGAUCCACCUCAGUGUGCUGGAAAUCAAGCAAAGAAAGCAGGGGGCUGUACAAAAUGAGGAGCUCCUUAAAAACUUUAAAACAAAAAGGAUGCAAACAAAAGGCAAAGGCAAGUGACCUGGGAGGAAUAAAGAGAUAUUGCCCAAGUGUGCAGGGGCAGAGCUAGGAAAGCCAAUAGCCACCUGCAUUUGAAUCUGGCAAGAGGCACAACAACAAAAA
Molecule: long non-coding RNA, 479 nt
Organism: Gallus gallus (chicken)
Lineage: Eukaryota; Metazoa; Chordata; Aves; Galliformes; Phasianidae
Exons: 2
Source: RefSeq, a predicted model, not a curated record